Molecule: ribosomal RNA, 442 nt
Filed under: uncultured bacterium
Lineage: Bacteria
Description: partial 16S ribosomal RNA
Rfam family: Bacterial small subunit ribosomal RNA
Source: RNAcentral
CCUACGGGAGGCUGCAGUGGGGAAUAUUGGGCAAUGGGCGCAAGCCUGACCCAGCAACGCCGCGUGAAGGAAGAAGGCUUUCGGGUUGUAAACUUCUUUUAAGAGGGAAGAGCAGAAGACGGUACCUCUUGAAUAAGCCACGGCUAACUACGUGCCAGCAGCCGCGGUAAUACGUAGGUGGCAGGCGUUGUCCGGAUUUACUGGGUGUAAAGGGCGUGCAGCCGGGAAGACAAGUCAGAUGUGAAAGCCCGCGGCUCAACCGCGGAACUGCAUUUGAAACGGUUUUUCUUGAGUACCGGAGAGGUCAUCGGAAUUCCGUGUGUAGCGGUGAAAUGCGUAGAUAUAAGGAAGAACACCAGUGGCGAAGGCGGAUGACUGGACGGCAACUGACGGUGAGGCGCGAAAGCGUGGGGAGCAAACAGGAUUAGAUACCCCAGUAGUC